UAGCUCUUUAUUUUCCAAAUGAGCUAACAAUAUCUGAUAGGUAAGAAUGUAGUACAGUUUAAGAAGUGCAAACACAAAAGCCAUGAGUCUUUUAAGCCCAAUGUGUAAAGAUACACUCUGAGUUAUAACUCAGAAAAAAA
Molecule: small nucleolar RNA, 140 nt
Organism: Otolemur garnettii (small-eared galago)
Lineage: Eukaryota; Metazoa; Chordata; Mammalia; Primates; Galagidae
Source: Ensembl